AAAGCGUAAUAGCUCACUGGUCGAGUCGGCCUGCGCGGAAGAUGUAACGGGGCUAAACCAUGCACCGAAGCUGCGGCAGCGAACGUAUCACCCAAGACAACUUUGCGGAGUUGACGAUUGACGGAGCGAAGCGACGUCAAAGCGUUCAUUAAAGUCGAGUUGGCUUAGGGAUACGUUCGUUGGGUAGGGGAGCGUUCUGUAAGCCUGUGAAGGUGGCCUGUGAGGGUUGCUGGAGGUAUCAGAAGUGCGAAUGCUGACAUAAGUAACGAUAAAGCGGGUGAAAAGCCCGCUCGCCGGAAGACCAAGGGUUCCUGUCCAACGUUAAUCGGGGCAGGGUGAGUCGACCCCUAAGGCGAGGCCGAAAGGCGUAGUCGAUGGGAAACGGGUUAAUAUUCCCGUACUUGGUGUUACUGCGAAGGGGGGACGGAGAAGGCUAUGUUGGCCGGGCGACGGUUGUCCCGGUUUAAGCGUGUAGGUGUGUGUUCCAGGUAAAUCCGGUUCACUUUAACACUGAGGCGUGACGACGAGGCACUACGGUGCUGAAGCAACAAAUGCCCUGCUUCCAGGAAAAGCCUCUAAGCAUCAGGUAACAUCAAAUCGUACCCCAAACCGACACAGGUGGUCAGGUAGAGAAUACCAAGGCGCUUGAGAGAACUCGGGUGAAGGAACUAGGCAAAAUGGUGCCGUAA
RNAcentral lists this ribosomal RNA (689 nucleotides) under Salmonella enterica. Its description in RNAcentral is "partial 23S ribosomal RNA". It matches the Rfam family "Bacterial large subunit ribosomal RNA", at positions 1129 to 1733 of the family's 2925-position model. The record is from RNAcentral. Lineage: Bacteria; Pseudomonadati; Pseudomonadota; Gammaproteobacteria; Enterobacterales; Enterobacteriaceae.